UUAAAUGAAAGAAUCUUCGUCUUUGUGCAAAAAGUCUCCAAAAGCAGAAGUAGUCGUUAAAGGUUUGACGAAAGCGCCUGCUUACGAUUUCAAAUUGCUCAUUUCAAAUUGCUCAUGAAAAUGGCGUGCAGGAACCCAUUCCGCUGUGAAUCACUAACGCAGCAGCAAAUUGACGAGCAGUUUGUGCAUGAUGUUGCACGAUCUAUAUGACAUACGCCCGGUUUUCUGCAUGCCCACCUCCACCAGCUGGACCCGUUCCUCCGGUUCCAAAUUCUACUUCAGAAACCACGGGGCGCUACACGAACACGAGACAAGGUGAAGACGGGACAAGCGCUAACCAAAGGACACAGAUCCAAAGGAGCAACAGAAGACAGACCCAAGGUGCUAGAAAUACACUUCAGAAGGGAGGACGUUUGGGCGCGUUGGCAGUUCACCGUACUUCAGAAACCAUGGCGCACUACACGAACACGAGACAAGGUGAAGACAGGACAAGCACUAACCAAAGAACACAGAUCCAAAGGAGCAACAGAAGACAGGCCCAAGGUACUAGAAAUACACUUCAGAAGGGAGGACGUUUGGGCGCGUUGGCAGUUCAUCGUACUUCAGAAACCAUGGCGCACUACACGAACACGAGACAAGGUGAAGACAGGGCAAGCGCUAACCAAAGAACACAGAUCCAAAGGAGCAACAGAAGACAGGCCUAAGGUACUAGAAAUACGCUUCAGAAGGGAGGACGUUUGGUCGCGUUGGCAGUUCAUCGUACUUCAGAAACCAUGGCGCACUACACGAACACGAGACAAGGUGAAGACAGGACAAGCACUAACCAAAGAACACAGAUCCAAAGGAGCAACAGAAGACAGGCCCAAGGUACUAGAAAUACACUUCAGUAGGGAGGACGUUUGGGCGCGUUGGCAGUUCAUCGUGCUUCAAAAACUAUGGCGCACUACACGAACACGAGACAAGGUGAAGGCAGGACAAGCGCUUACCAAAGAACGCAGAUCUAAAUGAGCAACACAAGAAAUGCCCAAGGUACCAGAAAUACCCUUCAGAAGGGAAGACGUUUGAGCGUGUUUCUGAAGUACGAGGAUCUGCCAACACGCCCAAACGUCCUCCCUUCUGAA
Molecule: long non-coding RNA, 1121 nt
Organism: Rhipicephalus sanguineus (brown dog tick)
Lineage: Eukaryota; Metazoa; Arthropoda; Arachnida; Ixodida; Ixodidae
Exons: 3
Source: RefSeq, a predicted model, not a curated record